RNAcentral lists this transfer RNA (63 nucleotides) under Zeuzera multistrigata. Its description in RNAcentral is "tRNA-Cys". Lineage: Eukaryota; Metazoa; Arthropoda; Insecta; Lepidoptera; Cossidae. The record is from RNAcentral.
AGUCUUAUAGUCAUAGAAUGAUUUAAAAUUGCAAAUUUUAAGGUGUAUAAAAUAUUAAGGCUU